Molecule: long non-coding RNA, 2714 nt
Organism: Cavia porcellus (domestic guinea pig)
Lineage: Eukaryota; Metazoa; Chordata; Mammalia; Rodentia; Caviidae
Exons: 3
Source: RefSeq, a predicted model, not a curated record
GCCAGGUUCCAGGGGUGCACUAGAGGCAGGGCUGGCCUGGGGUCACUGGUGCUGGGGACAAGCAGGCUUCUCCCCUCCCCCAGGCUUAUUCUGAUCUCAACUCAAAAUGGGAAGCAGCCCCACCAAGCAGAUCCCUGCUCCAGGAGCUCCUGGGGAGGGGGCUGGGAGCAGGCAGCGGCCCUGGAGUGGGUUUCCGGUGACUGACAGGGCUCGGCCUCAGCCUGUAAGAGAUAAGGUGAGGUAGCCAGGCUGGGCCACCACUGGUGUAAGGUACCAGCCUGACAGCUUGCCACAUGCUGUGAGACAAGGGACCAGGCCACGACUCCAGCCAGGCAGCUAGAGGCCCUGGCUUGGUUCUUUUACUUUUUCAUUUUAAAGAGAAUAAAAUAAAACAAAACAAUGGGAAUGAUACUGCAUUUUGAAAAUAAGACAGUAGAAAAUGAACCACUUUUUCUUAAGUGUUUUGUAACAACUAUUUCAGAAGGGAUCUGAUAAUGCACAUUGUUAUCCUCUAAACAGAUGCUCAGACCACCACACACAGGCAUGCAGAGUAAGCACCAAGUUGUCUCUUUACUUCAGCUGCCAUCACCUCAGAAAUUUCAGAUGUGAGCUUCUAAUUUCUUUUGCAGCUGUGUCAUCAGGGCUUGUCCUGGGUGGGCUGGAGGUCUGAGAUUGCACCCUGCUUCUUUGCCCUCCAAUCUGAGGUUGCUGGGGUGGCAGAGCGGUACAGGGCAGCUGCUCAUCAAUGUUCCCCUAAAUGCAGUGGGGCCUCGGGGGCGUGGCCUCCUCUCCUCCGGGCCCCAGGCAGGAGGAGGGAGAGAAGGGCAGGAGGGGCCCUCAUUAGAAGGUGCAGCUGCUGCUUCUCCUCCAGCGGUGGCAGCCUCACUAGGUGGGGAGGGCAUUUCUUUCUAAUGAAUUGACUAUUACAUUUCUAAAAUUCUAGAAUGGCCAGCAGACCAUUGAAAGAUACCACUUUAGGCUCGGUCUUGAUUCAGGGCCAUUCUGGCUUGAUUCUUAUGUCUCCCCAGCACCAAGCACUGUGCCUGCCAAAGAACGGGUCCUGACAUUCUGCGGGAAUCUGGUUCUGAUGAUGGCUCAGUAGAGGAUGCUGGCUCCAGUCCUGCUUGGAAAGCACAAUCUGGUGGGAAAGGAUCACUCAGAAGAUAAGUUUGAGACUUGAUCCAACAUGGCUGACCAGAGGCAGCAGCGCAUCAGACACGCUCAGAAACGAGACUAAGUGGAGUCCUGGAGGGGCUGUUCCCAGGCCGAGUGACCUGUUACAUGUGUGAUGCUGUGGCACGUCACUCAGAUCCCUACAGGGCUUCUUCGGUCCCAGGGGUGUUGGACACUCCAGGCUUGGGAUGAGUCCUGCCCAGGAAAUUACCUUGGCCAGAAAGAGCUGCUCCAUGGAGUGCACCCCCCCCCCUGGAACGAGCCAGAACCCAGGACUGGCCCAUCAGAGGUGGAAGGCCUGGUCCUCUUGCCUGGCUGUAGGACCAAGUGAGCCCCCACCCUGCACCCUUUGCAACUGAGGCUGCCACAGGCCCUCACUGUCCAAUCUAUUUCCUUUUUAUAUUUAUUUAUUUAUUUAGCCUUUCCGAGACAGGGUCUCACUAUUCAGUUUAGUCUGGCCUUGAUCUCACUUUGUUGCCAAAGCUGGUCUCAAACUGACAGUUCUCCUGCCUCAACCUCCCAAAUGCUGGGGUUACAGGUGUGCACCACCAGACUCAGCUCUUAUUUUUAGUACUGGGGAUCAAUCUCAUGACUUUGAGCUUCCCAGGCAGGCACUGAGCUAUACCCUGGCCCCUUCUCUCCUUCUCCUCCAGGAGCUAUUCCUGAGCCCGUUUGCUAUACAUUUACCACAAGUAAAGCUCCAUGAGUCUGUUUCCAAAAAUCUGGCCUAAAACAGCCAAAAACUUAGAAAAAACCAAGCAGUAGUAAUAAGACUGUAUUUGCUGGAGUUAUAGCAAUAAAAUCCAAAAUAAAGUUAAAAGAAAUGGGUGCUGCCUCUGGCAAGACAGAAAAAUGGCAAUAUCUGGGGUAGGGGAGAAGAAUGUUUUGUUUUGUAACUAUACAAUGACCUUUUUUUUGAGACACGGUCUCUGUGUCGUUACUUUUUUCUUGUGGCUGGGAUGAAAGACUUGAAAAGUUAAAGGAAGAAAGGUUUAUUUAGCUCACACUUUGUGGAAGUUGCAGUCCAUGCUUGGCUGGUUCCAAGGAAGACUAACAUGUGGCAGAGGGCAGCAUUUCACGGCGGCAGAAAACAGCAAAAGCAACAGGCAAAGGCCAAAAAAGAGGAGCACGGAGAGCAGACCCUUCCUGUCCCUCACAGUGUACACAGGCUUCCUGCCCCGGCGCAGGUGUAGCACUCACAGUCACAAUGCCAGCACUGGACCAAGGGUCAGCCACGAAUUCAGCAGCCUGCUCACACGACCACAUGAGGCUUUUAUGGGGGCAUCCAGACACAAACUGUAACAGUCUCACUCUAAUUCAGGCUGGCUUUGACCAUUCUAGGAUUACAGGUAUGGGUCAUCAUGCCAUGCAAUUUUCUUUAAACUACUGUAUAUGUAAGUAUGACUUUGAUGAACAUUUAAAAAACUAAAUUAAGAGAAAAAAGACAAAAGAGGGUAUUGGGGAUGUAGCUCCGUGGUAGACUGCUUGCCUAGCAUGUACAAGGCUCUGACUUCGAUCCCCAGUACCUAUCUAUCAUCUCU